Molecule: ribosomal RNA, 444 nt
Filed under: uncultured bacterium
Lineage: Bacteria
Description: partial 16S ribosomal RNA
Rfam family: Bacterial small subunit ribosomal RNA
Source: RNAcentral
CCUACGGGUGGCAGCAGUGGGGAAUAUUGGGCAAUGGAGGAAACUCUGACCCAGCAAUGCCGCGUGAAUGAAGAAGGUCUUCGGAGUGUAAAGUUCUUUAGUCAGGGAAGAAUAAAAUGACGGUACCUGAAGAAUAAGCUUCGGCUAACUACGUGCCAGCAGCGGCGGGAAUACGUAGGGAGCAAGCGUUGUUCGGAAUGACUGGGCGUAAAGGGUGCGUAGGCGGUUAUACAAGUUAGAAGUGAAAUACCCCGGGCUUAACUCGGGUGCUGCUUCUAAAACUGUAAGACUUGAGUGCAGUAGAGGUUAGUGGAAUGCCUAGUGUAGCGGUGGAAUGCGUAGAUAUUAGGAAGAACACCAGAGGCGAAGGCGGCUAACUGGACUGCAACUGACGCCGAGGCACGAAAGUGUGGGGAGCAAACAGGAUUAGAUACCCCUGUAGUC